RNAcentral lists this ribosomal RNA (292 nucleotides) under uncultured bacterium. Its description in RNAcentral is "partial 16S ribosomal RNA". It matches the Rfam family "Bacterial small subunit ribosomal RNA", at positions 505 to 796 of the family's 1533-position model. The record is from RNAcentral.
GUGUCAGCCGCCGCGGUAAUACGUAGGGUGCGAGCGUUAAUCGGAAUUACUGGGCGUAAAGCGUGCGUAGGCGGUCUCGCAAGUCCGAUGUGAAAUCCCCGGGCUUAACCUGGGAACUGCGUUGGAAACUAUGAGGCUCGAGUGCGGCAGAGGGGGGUGGAAUUCCAGGUGUAGCAGUGAAAUGCGUAGAGAUCUGGAGGAACACCGAUGGCGAAGGCAGCCCCCUGGGCUAGCACUGACGCUCAUACACGAAAGCGUGGGGAGCAAACAGGAUUAGAAACCCUGGUAGUCC